UACGGAGGGUGCGAGCGUUGUCCGGAAUCACUGGGCGUAAAGGGCGCGUAGGCGGCGCGGUAAGCGUGCGGUGAAAGCCCGGGGCUCAACCCCGGGUCGGCCGUGCGGACUGCCGGGCUCGAGCACUGUAGAGGCGGGUGGAAUUCCGGGUGUAGCGGUGGAAUGCGUAGAGAUCCGGAAGAACACCGGUGGCGAAGGCGGCCCGCUGGGCAGUGGCUGACGCUGAGACGCGAAAGCGUGGGGAGCAAACAGG
This 253-nucleotide ribosomal RNA is filed under the name uncultured bacterium. RNAcentral's name for it is "partial 16S ribosomal RNA". It matches the Rfam family "Bacterial small subunit ribosomal RNA", at positions 524 to 776 of the family's 1533-position model. The record is from RNAcentral.